Non-coding RNA from Myotis brandtii (Brandt's bat), 73 nucleotides. The record is from Rfam. NCBI's taxonomy places the organism in Eukaryota, Metazoa, Chordata, Mammalia, Chiroptera, Vespertilionidae.
GGCCACAUGGCUCAGUUGGUUGGAGCAUUGUCCUGUACACAAAAGGUUGUGGGUUCAAGUCCCACUCAGGACA